AACGAACGCUGGCGGCAUGCCUAACACAUGCAAGUCGAACGAGACCUUCGGGUCUAGUGGCGCACGGGUGCGUAACGCGUGGGAACCUGCCCUUAGGUUCGGAAUAACUCCCCGAAAGGGGUGCUAAUACCGGAUAAUGUCUUCGGACCAAAGAUUUAUCGCCUUUGGAUGGGCCCGCGUUGGAUUAGCUAGUUGGUAGGGUAAAAGCCUACCAAGGCGACGAUCCAUAGCUGGUCUGAGAGGAUGAUCAGCCACACUGGGACUGAGACACGGCCCAGACUCCUACGGGAGGCAGAAGUGGGGAAUAAUGGACAAUGGGCGAAAGCAUGAUCCAGCAAUGCCGCGUGAGUGAUGAAGGCCUUAGGGUUGUAAAGCUCUUUUACCCGGGAUGAUAAUGACAGUACCGGGAGAAUAAGCUCCGGCUAACUACGUG
RNAcentral lists this ribosomal RNA (433 nucleotides) under uncultured bacterium. RNAcentral's name for it is "partial 16S ribosomal RNA". It matches the Rfam family "Bacterial small subunit ribosomal RNA", at positions 29 to 507 of the family's 1533-position model. The record is from RNAcentral.